This 73-nucleotide transfer RNA is filed under the name Spirochaetaceae bacterium. Its description in RNAcentral is "tRNA-Met". It matches the Rfam family "tRNA". Rfam says of the family: Transfer RNA (tRNA) molecules are approximately 80 nucleotides in length. Lineage: Bacteria; Pseudomonadati; Spirochaetota; Spirochaetia; Spirochaetales; Spirochaetaceae. RNAcentral also lists the same sequence under 1 other name. The record is from RNAcentral.
GGCGGCGUAGCUCAGUUGGCAGAGCAAACGGCUCAUAUCCGUUCUGUCGUAGGUUCAAUCCCUACCGCCGCUA